Haliaeetus leucocephalus (bald eagle) is the source of this 1267-nucleotide RNA transcript. It is a transcript of the gene named testis expressed 261, with no coding region annotated. The record is from RefSeq and is a predicted model, not a curated record. The transcript has 5 exons. NCBI's taxonomy places the organism in Eukaryota, Metazoa, Chordata, Aves, Accipitriformes, Accipitridae.
CCGGGAGCGGCGGGGCCCGGCCCGGUUCGUCCCCGCCAUGUGGUUCAUCUACGCCUUGAGUUGGCUGUCCUUGCUCAUCCAGGUGGCUUUCGUCACCCUGGCGAUCGCUGCUGGGCUGUACUACCUGGCGGAGCUGAUCGAGGAGUACACGGUUGUCACCAGGAGGAUAAUCAAAUACAUGAUCUGGUUCUCCUCGGCCGUGCUGGUCGGCCUCUACCUCUUCGAACACUUUCCUGGUUUCAUGGUGGGCGUGGGGCUCUUCACCAAUCUGGUCUACUUCGGUUUGCUGCAGACCUUCCCCUUCAUCAUCCUGACAUCCUCCAAUUUCAUACUGUCCUGCGGAUGCUGUCUGUGUAUGACUAAAAUACCUUUGCUCCUCAAAGCAUUCACGAAGGCAGGAUUUUAUCCGCUACUUGAAAAUGAGUGUAGCUUUCCCAUGGCGCAUAGAUCAGGAGCUGCGUUUUCUGGCAGAUCCAGACUCUCAUCUGGAUCUUUGGUGACGUCUUUAGGCUGGAGAGGACGAUAAAGCAGCAUGGGACACAGCAUUUUGUGUCGGGGCUGUCUCCCACUGGGGCUCUACUGACCUGGUGCUCCUGGGCUGGGGCUGCUGUCUUGGCAUCUGAAAUAAAAGGCUAAAGAAGCUCCAAUUCCUGCCUCUUAAGAGCUAAGUGGUGUUUUUCACUGCUGGGGACAGUGUUAGCCCUACUGUCCUGGCUGCAUUUCAGCUUGACUUGGUUUACAGAUGGCAGAAGAGCUUCUCUUCGCAGCAGCUGUCGGGGAUGCGGGGUUUUUCGCUUCUCAUCUCAGCGCUGCGCAGCAUUAGCAAGUGUCAGGCUGGGCUUUCCAGGGUGCCCUCGGGGACACGGAGCAUAAAGCACUGGAGGGACGAGGGACUCAACCGGGGCUGCACAGAGUAACAAACUGCAGCUGGGACCCGGGGGACUCUGGCUGCUCACACUAUUUCUCACUAGAUGCGAGAAAAUAUUUUAGCAACAACAAGAUUCCAGGUGUACAGGGGCUGCGGGGAAGGGGCUGCGCGGCAGGGAGGAACUGCUCCUCGCAGGGGCUGUGGCAGCAGAGGCGGAUGUCCUCUUUCGGGGGCCUUGGAAUAUGCCAAUGGUAUUUCUUCCAGGCUGGAGACUGACUUUGCUGUGUUUUUCUUUGGCAGUGCUGGUUAUAUUCAAUCACUACUUAGCGUUCCAGUACUUCGCUGAAGAGUAUUACCUGUUCUCUGAGGUUCUCGCCUACUUCACAUUCUGCCUGUGGU